This is a non-coding RNA of Sus scrofa (pig), 7304 nucleotides long. The record is from RefSeq and is a predicted model, not a curated record. Lineage: Eukaryota; Metazoa; Chordata; Mammalia; Artiodactyla; Suidae.
UCCUAAAAAGAGAAAAAAAAAAAAAAGCAUAGCCUUUAAUAUUAUUUUAUUUUGAAAUAUUUCCAGCUCAUUCAUUUCUAAUCCGCCUCAUUCCAUGGAACAUACAAACAGAUCAUUUUCUAUGUUGCUCCUGUUUUAUGCAAUAGAACAUGUCAAUGAAACUCAGAGCUGGGAGAAAAGCUAAUGUCAGCAUGGCAGGGAAAGAAACACAGCUGAACAGGUUUACAACUAGACAUGUGGGGUUUGGUACCAAAGGAUUUAGAAGCAAGUAGGGGAGAGGCUAGAGGUUACAUUGUGAGAUUUGGAACUUUGUAAUAGAAUCCAGUUUUCCCAGAGUCUGGAAUGUCGCUCGUCGGACAUUUUAGGGUCUCCCUAGUAAAUAACAACUUCCUAGUUAUUAACAAAAAUUCAUUUUUUUUCUGUAUAAUUUUAUUUAUUUUUUUGGCUGUACCUGUGACAUGCAGAAGUUCCCUGGGCCAGGGCUCGAAUCCAAGGCACAGCAGUGACACUGCCAACCCCUUAACUGCGAGGCCAUCAAGGUUAAUGGCAACUCUCAUCAGACCACACAGUCUGUACUAUGUUUAAAACAAACAAAAUACGCACCCCCCUCUGUUUUCCUUAGGCAUCCUUUUAUGUACAUCCAUGUACAACAUAGCUCUUCAGGAGCCAUUGAUGGUUCAGUUCCCAGAUUCUCUGGUCUCCUUUAAUUUUCCCCUCCUCUUUUUUUCAUCUGCCUGAUUUUUUUAUUUCUUCAACUCUUUGGCUCUUUCCCACACACAGCUGAACAAGAGGAGGGAAAAUUGAUUCUAAUCUACUGACCGUGUUGCUGCUUUUCUACAAUUUGAAAAACCUGUGAUCCUGAGGAGUGAUUUUAGUUACACGUGUGACUUUUCUUGUCCUGUUACCACAGAAAAUCAAAUUAAUCUUUUAAAUUGCUACAACAUAGAAUUGAAAAUUCACCUUUACUCUGUGAAGGCUGAAUUUUUUUUAAAAAAAUGAAGUUUUAAAAAGAAGAAGAUUUUUUUUUUUCUUCAUGGUAGUUUGUGAUUUGCUUAAUUUCUUAAAGCUUCAUUUCCAUUUCUAUGAAUAUAAUAGAAAAUGUGCCAAAUAAUAAAACAAUUAUUGACUCUUUUUUUUCACUCUAAUCUAGGGAUGUUUCAGGGACUUACAUGUGCUUGAGCAGAGUCAGUUUCUCUCCUGUAUUCUUGAAUUGACACCACUGAGUGUUCUUUUGAGAGAAACACUCUCGAAGAAAGCCCCAGAAAAAGGCAUUCAGAAGUGAGUAUGAGGUCUCUUGAUGAGAGUAUACUUUCUGCAUACCUUUGUUAAAAGAAAGUAAACCACAGUAUAGCCUGAGACCCUCAGGGAAAGUUGAGUUCGUAAUUACUCCUUAAAGGUCAGUGAAAAGAAGGAAAAGCACUGGAAAGUUCUGAAAUGGAACUCUCGAUUACACUGGCCAAGAAAUGAAUCCCAGGCAGGCAAAAUGUGAAAUCUAAGAAAACAGGUUGGAUUUUUAAGCUUGAAAUAAAAGGUAAUGAGGUAGAUAGGGAAAAUGGAAAGGAAACCGCCAUCCCUGCAGAGUUGCUAAAAACCCAGAGGGCAACAGAGGAAGGCUGCUAAGGUCCACGUGGUCAUCUCCACUUUGUCCUGACUUCUGAAGACUUAAAGCCAGUCCAUGUUCAUGUCCAUUGAGAGCUAAAAACAAAACUGAUUUAACCAUCUUGGAUUUGCCAUUUUAUCUUUCUUAUGCCCAGUCUGUCACUUUCUACAUAGAUUAAAAACAGCCAACCACCUAAUUUGCUUUCUAUGAGGAUAGUGUCUAGAUGUGAGAAGAAUUUCUAAAAAAUCUAAAUAUAUAGGAAUGUGUGUACAUAUAUAUUUUUUUCCAACUGGGGGAAUGGAGAGGACAUUACCUAGAUAAGAGCUUGAACCUGUGAGUAAUUGGUCAAAUCCAUUUCACCUGCCAUCACUCUGCCAGGUCCUUUUAAGACUUGCAUGGGAUCCAAGCAGCACCUGAGCCUAAACAAUACGAUGCUUGCCUGAGAGUUUCCAGAAACUUGGAGUCAGCUGAGUCUAGUUCCAGCUGUGUGGUGAAGACUGGAUAGGACCACCAACCCUCCAAGUGCGCAUGCGUGCAUGUCCCCUCAGUGACCUUUUAAAUCCAUCCGCCCUGUAGUUACGCCUGCGCAGAAGGAUGAUUACACACCUUUUCCCAAUCACCUUUCCCCACACCCCCAUGCUCCCGACGCUGCAGACUACCCUCUGGCUUUACUCCGGCGUCUAUAAAUACGCCCAGCCCCUUACCGCUGUGGAGGCUGGCUUGAUUUUUGUUCGCGUUCUUCUUAGCUGGGCUGUCUUGCGAAGCAACUCUUUUCUUUUUUUUCUGCUGUAAAUCUCAGUGUCUUUUCAGCAUUCGAGCGGUUGUCUUUCAGUAAAGUGACUCUGGCAGGGGGUGGGGGCAAGUUUUCUAAAAGUGCAUCUUAACUAAGUAAAUUUUUUUGAGUGAUUUUUUUUGUUCACAGUUUUCAGAAGACUUGAGUUUUUGUAAUGUUAUGGUCAAGAAAGAACGCUCAAAAGUUAUUUAUAGUUAAGCAGUAGCUGCUUCUGUUAAAGAUUUUUUUUCUAUCUGUUGAAGUCAGAAUUGAGGGGAUGACCAUGACACAGCUGAAGCUAAGCUAGCUAACUUCAUGGAUCUUUAAUCCCUUCGAUAAUCUUUCUGACCACUAAGUUCUAACUUUCCUCUGUACUCUGUCCUUCCAUUCUCCGAACAGCCCAACAAAAGAUGAGGCCCGUUUUGUUGCAAAACAAUAAUGCCUCCGAAAGCCGGGAAGGGUUUUUCCUACCAACUUGACAGUGUAAGGGGCAGUGCUGUUUAAGUAUUAAGCUGUGAAAGUGGUGACGAUAGCUCAAGGAAGGCGUAGCGGCCAAAGUAAAUUUCAACUAAGGUCAUAUCAGAAAGUAUUUCCUAAAGUGGGAAGGUUUCCCCCAAGGAGCUAGAAAAAAAUCCAUUGACAGGACAAUUUGAAAGAAAGGAGCCAAAAUAUAAAGGAAGUGUAUUUUACCUUCACAGAAUUGGUGAUAUAGCUACCUUCAAUAACUUUUUGUGAUUUUAAAAAAGCUAAAUAUGUAUUCUAAAACAUCUCUUGGGGAGUUUAAAAUAGUUAAUUGAAAAAUUCUCUCUCCUAUUCGUGCUGGUGGGUUCCACCAGGGCUCUUCUUCCUCUUCCACACGUGUUGAUCUAUCUCCUACUUGUCUCUAAGGAAUCUUGAAUGCUAAAUUGGCUUAGUUACUCUUAGUGAAACUUGGUUUGUUCCACUUUAAAAUUUUAUUACCGUAAGAAUGAACUUGGACAUUAGCUAUCAGGUUUCCUUCAAGAUAACAUGGCAGUUAGUCAAUAAUGGCUUAAAUAACUCAACACUGGGUGGCACAAGACAGUGAUAAAAGUCUAAUACAUGUAACUACUUAAUCAAAUUUUAUCUAGAGGCCCAGGUAAUUUGUUAGGAUUCUGAAGCUCAUUAAGGCUUGAAAUAGCAACUUAAAAUGCUUAGAAAUACUCUAAAUCCGUACUAAAUCUCCACCCUACAGAAAUUUCAAUGUUGAUGAUUCUUGGUUGUGGGGCUGUCCUGGGCACUGCAGGCAGGAUAUUAGCAGCAUCCCGGCCCUCUACCUACCAGAUGCCAUGGCAACUGCCCUGGCCAAGUCAAAUCGAGGAAAAAUGUCUCCAGGUUAUGUGCAUCAUAGCAGCUCCUUUGCGGAACUAUAUUUCCACAAAAUCCUGUCUUUUAAAAAGACAAGAGGCCAUGUCUUCUCAUCCAGGACCCUUGUCAGAAUGCCCUAGGGAGCCAGGUGGAGAAAGACAAAUUUCAUUUUAGUCCAGGCUUCCGUCACAGAUGAAGGAACAAAUGCUCCCCUCUUCUCAGCAGCUCCACACCCACGCUACAAUGUUCAUCUUUAUUAUCAGGCCCAGGCUCCUUUCCUGAUUCCAACUUAAGAUCGCCUCUCUGCCAAAGGAUUCUUCGUCCCUUUAGUGAAUAGUCUCUGCCAUCCAGUUAACAACCCAAAUCCCAAAAGCCAACACCUGAAACUUAAAAUGGGGGCCUAUUUGAUAAAGAUAAAAAUAAGGGAAUUAGAAAAGAUUAAACUGACAAGGAUCUUUGUUUUUUUCUUUCCCCAUUUUGAAAAGUAGCCAGUAGGGUGAUUCACCACCCAGGACCCUUCUAGUCAGGUUAUUCCUUCUACUUCUUGCAUGUGCAGUAUUGAUUUAAAGCUGUCCCUGCUAACAACUGUUCUGACCCUCUCCAAGUGUACCUGAAAAGGACAUAGGUCCUAUUAUCAUUUCUCAAUAGAUUUAUUACCCCCUGGUUUACAGGUCUCGGGAGGGUAAAAGAGAGCCCACUGACUAGGAGACUGAGCCUAAACCCUCUCUGCCUGGAGAGAAGCCACUGACCACCACAGGCAGACAGAUGACAGCUGCCUUACAUUCAAAGUAAUUUUGAUCUGCUUCUAGAGAUCCAGAAAACUGCAAGCACAAAAGGUGUUUUUACAGCUCAGAUCAUCACAAGCCUAGUCUUAAUUGCUGAUUGAUUUUUCAAGAGUAAUUACUUUUUUUGUGUCACUUAGUAUUUUAUUCUUUGAAUACAUCACAUAUGUGUCUUAGUUUUCUGUGAAUUUUUUUUUCCCAAGGAUGCUCAUGAGCUUGUUUCAGGGAGUGAAAAAUCUCAAGCAUCAUUGCCUGUCUAAAUAUGACAGAUGGAAUUAGAGGAAAUGUAAAGAGUUGCAUGGUUCAGUGUUAACAAUAAAGAAUGUUUAAAGUGUACUGUAAAGAAACACAUUAUAGGAAUGGCCAGAAAGCAAAUAUUUCAACACUGUUACUUCAAAUAAUUGUUAUUUUGGAAAAUUUCAAAGGAAGUUUAAUUUUACUACAGUUAGGCUGCCUUUCAUUUCUCAAUAGCAUGUGUUCUGCAGGAGUUAAUGACAAAACACCCAGGGAGCUAAGCCAAAAUCACAUUUGCAAUUCAAAAAAUAUAAAUCAUCUCUAUGAAGUGGCUUCCAAGCCAAUGUUCAGAUCAUGUAAAGCUCUAUCUUCACUCUGGGUCAAUUUAGAUUUGUGGGUUAGUUAUUACUGACAAUGUCUUUGCUGUUAUGAAACACAUACAUACAGUAGUGUGCAGUUCAAGAAAACUUCCCUAAAAAUAGAGAUGUUAUUUAAAAAGGAUAAAAUACUGUUUUGCAGUAAAUAGGGGGGAUAGAAUUACUAGUUAGGAAAAUUAUGCCUUACAUGGUAUAUUCUGUUUCACAUCCUGAAGAUAAGAGGAAUGACAGUUAUAAAUAUGUGAAAAGUGAUGUAUCUAGCAUUUUUAGCUUUUGAUAUCCUGAUGGAUAAAAAGGUACUAGAAGUCUUGAGCCAAAAUUGGCAGAGAAUCAGAAAAUAUGUUAAUACUUAACCUUCCCCCUAGGGUAUGUACUAUAUGUGGCUAUAUUAUAUUUAGCUACACACAUCAAUACCAUUAUCUUUAUGACAUAGACAAUGGUUUUCUACUUUCACAUAUAUUCCAUCAUUUGGUUCAUGUGAGACAAGUAGUAUUUCUUCAUUUCUUGGAUGAGGAAGUUGAAUAAGCCCAGCAUACUAUUUGCUAGAAGAUGAGGCUGCAGCAGGGACAUGGAAGACACAUUCCUAUUCUGCAAGAUGUGCCCAUCAGCUGGGUACCAUCUAGAGUUUGAGAGAGAACAGAGGGACCUAUGCAUCCCCUCUUUGUAAGAAGUCUCUUCUCUGCUUCCCUCUCCAAGACCUAUACUUUAUAGUAAUACAACUCAGAGGGCAAUCAUAUAGAAGAAAUUCUCAUUCAUAGCACCUGAGAUAUAAAAACCAGGUUACUUUUCCAAACCCAUACAUGUUAGAAUUCUUAAUCCUACAAAUCUCCUGUUGAGUGGCCGUAUUAAAAUUCAGUUACUAUAUACACAUCAACCUUUUUCUUCCUUACACCCCUUCAUCUACCUCUCCAGGGCCAACUAUGUCUGCUAAGUAGGUACAAUCCCACAGGAAAGUUACACACCAUGAAUAGGGCGGAGUUUUUCCUCUAUGCCCUUGUAACAGCUAGCAACAAGAGUGGUAGCUUAGAGAAGACCCCAGGGGCAAGUAGAUACAGUGACAGAAUGGCUGAUUGUGACCCAAGAGUUUUGCUUUUAGCUUAACAAGUUCCCAGGAAUUCUGGAGGUCAAAUUUCUGUACCUUGAGGUGGCCCAAUACCAUGACGUUAACAAAAUAAGCAUAAAUUUAAACAAAAAGUCAUCCAAGCCGUUUGACCUUCUAUUUCCAUUGCAUUAAAAAAUCCCACUUAACUUUUAUAAAGGCUCAAUUAUUAUUCAUGAAACGUUGUUUUUGUCUACAUUCCUUAAGGUCUUUAUGAUUGGAGAUCAUGUGCAUAAUGUCAACCACUCUGAAUGGUUCCUCAUGGAAGAGUCUUUUGCCCCUUAAUCAGCUGUGGUUCACUGUUAGUCAAGGUGUUGCCAUCUUCUCAAAGAAAUUAUUUUAUUAUUCCAAGCACUUUUUGGCUUCAAAUCAAGUGUUAAGUAUUGAAUUCUGUCUCCCUCCUUCUAAAAAUAUUGGAGUCCUAACUCCCAAUACCUCAGGAUGUGGCCUUAUUUGGGGACAGUGUCUUUACACAGGUAAUCAACUUAAAAUGAUGCCACUGGGAUGGGCCCUGAGCCCAUGACUGGUGUCUUUAUAAAAAAGGGGGAAGUUGGACACAAAGCCAGACAUGCAAAUACAGAGGAGGAUAUGAAAAGGCACAGGGAGAAAAUGACUGUCUACAAGCCAAGAAGAGAAACCUGGAGCAGACCAUCCCUCAGAGCCUUCCAGAAAGGACCAAAAGGACCAGUCCCUGCCAACACCUUGAUAUUUGUACUGCUAGCCUCUAGAACUGUGAGAAAAUACAGUUCAGUUGUUUAAGCCACCCAGUUUGGGCUCUUUGAAGAACAGCCCUAACAAACUAAACACAAGUAUCUCAAAACCCUUGGGGUCCCACAAAGCGUGUCCUCUAAGGUGGUGGUUCUCACUUUUGACAUACUGGUGUGUGACAGUGGUUUGUGAGUUUAUUCUAUACCAUUACUCUAAUAGUAGUUCAAGUGAUGAAAUAUUUUCUUGUCUUAGUUAUAUGAAUUGGUUAAAAUCAUCCCAUUUAAAUUCUGAUAUGCUUCCUUGAAUGUCAAAGAAAUAGCAUAUGUGACUGUCAUCUGCCCUGUGAGCAUAGAGAAAAAUUGCCACUGGUAUCCAUAAGACCAACCUUCACACUGUAAAUUCGUCA